GAUGAACGCUGGCGGCGUGCCUAAUACAUGCAAGUCGAGCGAACAGACGAGGAGCUUGCUCCUCUGACGUUAGCGGCGGACGGGUGAGUAACACGUGGAUAAUCUACCUAUAAGACUGGGAUAACUUCGGGAAACCGGAGCUAAUACCGGAUAAUAUAUUGAACCGCAUGGUUCAAUAGUGAAAGACGGUUUUGCUGUCACUUAUAGAUGGAUCCGCGCCGCAUUAGCUAGUUGGUAAGGUAACGGCUUACCAAGGCAACGAUGCGUAGCCGACCUGAGAGGGUGAUCAGCCACACUGGAACUGAGACACGGUCCAGACUCCUACGGGAGGCAGCAGUAGGGAAUCUUCCGCAAUGGGCGAAAGCUUGACGGAGCAACGCCGCGUGAGUGAUGAAGGUCUUCGGAUCGUAAAACUCUGUUAUUAGGGAAGAACAAAUGUGUAAGUAACUAUGCACGUCUUGACGGUACCUAAUCAGAAAGCCACGGCUAACUACGUG
RNAcentral lists this ribosomal RNA (497 nucleotides) under uncultured bacterium. RNAcentral's name for it is "partial 16S ribosomal RNA". It matches the Rfam family "Bacterial small subunit ribosomal RNA", at positions 28 to 507 of the family's 1533-position model. The record is from RNAcentral.